This 495-nucleotide ribosomal RNA is filed under the name uncultured bacterium. RNAcentral's name for it is "partial 16S ribosomal RNA". It matches the Rfam family "Bacterial small subunit ribosomal RNA", at positions 28 to 507 of the family's 1533-position model. The record is from RNAcentral.
GACGAACGCUGGCGGCGUGCCUAAUACAUGCCAGUAGAACGCUGAAGGAGGAGCUUGCUCUUCUGGAUGAGUUGCGAACGGGUGAGUAACGCGUAGGUAACCUGCCUGGUAGCGGGGGAUAACUAUUGGAAACGAUAGCUAAUACCGCAUAACAGUAGAUGUUGCAUGACAUUUACUUAAAAGGUGCAAUUGCAUCACUACCAGAUGGACCUGCGUUGUAUUAGCUAGUUGGUGGGGUAACGGCUCACCAAGGCGACGAUACAUAGCCGACCUGAGAGGGUGAGCGGCCACACUGGGACUGAGACACGGCCCAGACUCCUACGGGAGGCAGCAGUAGGGAAUCUUCGGCAAUGGACGGAAGUCUGACCGAGCAACGCCGCGUGAGUGAAGAAGGGUUUCGGAUCGUAAAGCUCUGUUGUAAGAGAAGAACGAGUGUGAGAGUGGAAAGUUCACACUGUGACGGUAUCUUACCAGAAAGGGACGGCUAACUACGUG